AGCGAACGCUGGCGGCAGGCCUAACACAUGCAAGUCGAACGAACCUUUCGGGGUUAGUGGCGGACGGGUGGGUAACACGUGGGAACGUGCCUUUAGGUUCGGCAUAACUCAGGGAAACUUGUGCUAAUACCGAAUGUGCUCUUCGGGGGAAAGAUUAAUCGCCUUUAGAGCGGCCCGCGUCUGAUUAGCUAGCUGGUUGAGGUAAUGGCUCACCAAGGCGACGAUCAGUAGCUGGUCUGAGAGGAUGAUCAGCCACAUUGGGACUGAGACACGGCCCAAACUCCUACGGGAGGCAGCAGUGGGGAAUCUUGCGCAAUGGGCGAAAGCCUGACGCAGCCAUGCCGCGUGAAUGAUGAAGGUCUUAGGAUUGUAAAAUUCUUUCACCGGGGACGAUAAUGACGGUACCCGGAGAAGAAGCCCCGGCUAACUUCGUG
This 434-nucleotide ribosomal RNA is filed under the name uncultured bacterium. RNAcentral describes it as "partial 16S ribosomal RNA". It matches the Rfam family "Bacterial small subunit ribosomal RNA", at positions 29 to 507 of the family's 1533-position model. The record is from RNAcentral.